GUGGGCACUGCGGCGGCGACGGUGGCGACGGCCGCGGCCUUGGCUCCGGCCAUGGCAGCCUCUGCAGUUACCAAUCAACACAGGCGUGUUAGUUUGGGUCUAGUUCCAGGCUUUCAGUAGACAGGACUGCACAUAACUGCAAUGCACUCCUAGAAUAGAACGGCGAGAGCAUUGCCGGCACAGUGAACCGGCGGGGCAUCAUAUCGUUUUGGUUACCUCUGGAGCAGCGCUUGGCUGCGGCGAGCCUCUGGUCGAGGUAGGCGCCGGUCACCGUAGACAUCUUCGCCGGAGCAAAGCUUGGUGGCAGGAGACCCGAAGGAAGUGAACUACUCGUGACUUCUUAGGCCCUGUUUUGUUACAAAUAAGUCACCAACUUAUAAGUUAAAAAUGCAAAAAAUGACUUAUUUUGCCAAAAGGGCCUAACUUAUAAGUCACCCUAACUUAUAAGUCAUAAGUUGCGAUACCCUAGCUUAAAACUUAUAAGUCACUUACUUUUUGAUGGGUCCCACCACCUUUUCAGCCGUGCCCACCGCCCACCCGUGCCCACCGCCCCAUCCGCUCCCCACCGCGUAGCGCGCCUCGCCGCCGCUCCCACCGCGCAGCGCGCCUUGCCGCCGCCGAGCUCCAUCCCCACCCACUGCGCAGCGCGCCUCGCCCAUCCCUCCCCACCGCGCACCGCUGCUGCCCUCGCCGCCGCUGNNNNNNNNNNNNNNNNNNNNNNNNNNNNNNNNNNNNNNNNNNNNNNNNNNNNNNNNNNNNNNNNNNNNNNNNNNNNNNNNNNNNNNNNNNNNNNNNNNNNCCUAGUGUGCCUUUUCCUGUCAGCCUACCCUCAUACCGAGAUUCGGGAACACCAAUCGGCUUAAGGUCAGGAAGAAAGUCCACACAAAACUCAAUGACCUCCUCUGUUCCAUAGCCCUUGGAGAUGCUUCCUUCUGGCCUAGCACGGUUACGAACAUAUUUCUUUAAGACUCCCAUGAACCUCUCGAAGGGGAACAUAUUGUGUAGAAACACAGGACCGAGAAUUCUAAUCUCUUCGACUAGGUCAACUAGGAGGUGUGUCAUUAUAUUGAAGAAGGAUGGCGGGAACAACAACUCAAAGCUGACCAGACAUUGGACCACAUCAAUCUGUAACCCUGAUAGACUUUCUCGAUCGAUUACCUUCUGAGAAAUUGCAUUGAGAAAUGCACAUACCUUCACAAUUGCCAGGCGAACAUUUUCCGGUAGAAUUCCCCUCAAUGCAACCGGAAGCAAUUGCGUCAUAAGCACGUGGCAGUCAUGAGACUUUAGGUUUUGGAAUUUUUUGUCUUUCAUAUUUACGAUUCCCUUUAUAUUCGACGAGAAGCCAGUCGGGACCUUGAUACUGAAAAGGACUUCAAAGAAGAUUUCCUUCUCUUCCUUAGUAAGAACGUAGCUGGCACGCCCUUGAAACUGCCCUCGAUGCAUGCCAUCUCUUCCUUUAUGACGUUCCUGGUCCUCCCGUGCUUCCGGUGUAUCUUUUGACUUCCCAUACAAGCCCAGGAAGCCUAGAAUAUUCACGCAGAGAUUCUUCGUCAGGUGCAUCACGUCGAUUGCCGAGCGGACCUCAUGGACUUCCCAGUAGGGUAGCUCCCAAAAUAUAGAUUUCUUCUUCCACAUGGGUACGCGCUUAUCAGGGCCGUUAGGAACAGGUUGGCUGCCAGGACCCUUUCCAAAGAUUACUUUUAAAUCUUUGACCAUAUCAAAUACUUCAGCACCAGUACGGAUGACAGGCUUCCCCCGGGGUUCUGCCUUGCCAUUGAAAUGCUUGCCUUUUUUCUUGAAGGGAUGCUUGGGCGGAAGAAAACAACGAUUGUACGGAUACACAUUCUUCCUACAGUUGUCGAGAUAUAUACUUUCUGUCUGAUCCAAACAGUGCGUGCAUGCAUUGUAUCCCUUGUUUGACUGACCUGAAAUGUUACUAAGAGCAGGCCAAUCAUUGAUGGUUAUGAAAAGCAACGCUCGAAGGUCAAAUUCCUCUUGUUUGUGCUCGUCCCACACACGUACACCUGGUUCGGCCCACAUCUGUAAAAGUUCAUCAACUAAUGGCCUUAGGUACACAUUAAUAUCGUUGCCGGCUUGCUUUGGACCUUGUAUAAGCACUGGCAUCAUAAUGAACUUCCGCUUCACGCACAACCAAGGAGGAAGGUUGUAGAUACAUAGAGUAACGGGCCAGGUGCUGUGACUGCAACUCUGCUCCCCAAAAGGAUUCAUGCCAUCUGUACUCAAACCUAACCAUAAGUUCCUUGCGUCAGCUGCAAAUCUCGGGAACUCUCUCUCGAUUUUUCUCCACUGCCGACCAUCAGCGGUGUGCCUCAACUUAUCGUCUUUCAUACGAUCUUCCAUGUGCCAUCACAACAACUUCGCAUGGUCUUUAUUUCUGAACAGACAUUUCAACCGUGGUAUUAUAGGAGCAUACCACAUCACCUUGGCAGGAACCCUCUUCCUGGGUGGCUCGCCCUCAAUAUCACCAGGGUCAUCUUUUCUGAUCUUAUACCGCAAUGCAGUGCAUACCGGGCAUUUAUCCAUAUUCUCGUACUUCUCACCGCGGUAGAGGAUGCAGUCAUUAGGGCAUGCAUGUAUCUUCUGCACGUCUAAUCCUAGAGGGCAGACAAGCUUCUUUGCUUCGUACGUGCUGGCGGGCAAUUCGUUCUUUCUUGGAAGCAUCUUCUUCAUCAGUACCAGCAACUUUUCGAAUGACGAGUCAGUCACACCGGUCUCUGCCUUCCACUUCAGCAAUUCCAGUGUGCUACCCAGCUUCUUCUGGCCAUCUUCACAAGUUGGGUACAACAAUUUGUUGUGGUCCUGUAACAUCUGCUCGAACUGCAACCUCUCCUUUUCUGUGUCGCAACCUCGCCGUGCAUCAGAAAUGACCCGGCCAAGAUCAUCAGCGGGCUCAUCUGGUUCCGGUUCUUCAUCCUGAUCUUCUUCUUCAUUGUCUUCCAUUGCGGUAUCAGCAUACUCAAGGAACAUAGAUUGGUAGUUGUCAUCAUCAUUCUCUUCUUCUUCUUUGUCGUCUUCCAUCAUAACCCCUCUUUCUCCGUGCUUGGUCCAAACAUUAUAGCCCGACAUAAAACCGGACCGAAGCAGGUGGCUCUGAAUGACUCUUGAGGAAGUGUAAUCCUUCUCAUUCCGACAUUCAACACAUGGACAAAACAUAUAGCCACCACCAUGCUUGUUCGCAUCGGUUGCAUCUCGAAAAGAAUGCACACCUUCUCUGGAAGCGGUUGUGCGUCGAUCACCGUACAUCCAUGGAUGGCUCAUCUCUGCGUUAUACGACAGUAUAUCAAAUACAAUCACGAUCCUAGAAAUUAGUACCGCACGGUCUAAACGAGGAAAUAUAGUUGCUAACCUUUUAGAAUAAGUAGAAAUAAAGAGGAAGAGGUUUAAGCGUGGCUCGGGCAUCUCAUAUCGUAGUUGUGUUCGGUGAACUGAAGCGGCAUCGCUCUAACACACAUUUCAACAAACACCUCUAGUGCAUCAAAAAAAGUGGAGAGCAAGCACCCACCCACAAUCCUCCAUCCAAGAAAAAUGCAACGAAGAGGGGAGAGGGGGGGCUGUGCUAUAUAUAGGCAGAGGACUUUAGUCCCGGUUUGAGACACAAACCGGGACUAAAGGUGGCGCACAUGCGGGCUGCCCACCGCGUAGCCCUUUAGUCCCGGCUUGGGACACGAACCGGGACUAAAGGCUCCUUACGGGCCGGGACUAAAGCCUCGAGGGAGGAUAUGAGAAUUGGGGCGACGUGGCCGGGCCUUUAGUCCCGGCCCAGAGGCAGGCCGGGACUAAAGGGUCCAGGCCAAAGGCCCGUUUUCUACUAGUGAGACACAUAGAGUUCACCGAGAAAUCCAUGGUUAUGACCAAGAUGAUAAUUAAGUACUGUAUGUUUCCUAUUAGGAUUAGGCGUUUCUUCGAAACAUAUACUGACAGAUGUAUAGAGUUCACUCAUGAUAGAUUAAAAAUUUGAGGAUCAAGUACUCUUGCUUCAUUGAUCAUUACAAGUUGCAAGCUAGCUUUAGGAUUAGGCGUUCAUGCAGUGUUUAUCAAGAUUCAGGAUUAGGAAUUUUUUGUAUCUCGCAACUUUGUGUCGGGCAAAUUAACCUCACUCAUGUUGCUAUGAGAGAAAAACUUAGUUAUGUCAAUUUUGCAAGAUUAUGUGGCAUCUUGACAAGAUAAGUUAGAUUUGUAGUAUGUCUAUUUAAUUUUUUCUGCUGCAACAUAUGUUGUCGAAAUACUUUCAAUUAUCAAUUGAUUCAUGAUUCACUAUUAAAAAAAUCGGUUCCGAACUCGGCACCCGAGUGAAGCAAAAGGGAAAUUGCUAAGCAAACUAGUAGCUGCACCUUAAUCCAAACUCAGUGAGAAUUUUCAUAGUCCUGGAAAAAAGAGAAUUUUGAUUCAAAAAAGGCGGUGUUGCUUCUGCUGUGCAAAAGGGAAUUGCUAAGCAAACUAGCACCUUAUCCAAACUGAAUGAGAAUUUGAAGUUCAGAAAAGAUUGCUCCAUUUCUACUGUGCACCUGAUGUAAAUCGCUACCCUGCAGGACUGGUGACGAUGUGGCUCUCUCUAGGCGGGUAGCGGUGACAUUCCUUAUGAUGACAAUGGCAGACUUCAGCGACCAGCUCUUCGACUGGCAGGACCGCCAUCUUCGAGCCCGACGUCGGACGCGCCCGCGUCGCCGCUGUCGUCGAGGAUGAGGCUGAGCACCUCGUCCACCUCUUCUGCGUCCUCCCGCGCCAGCAGCUCGUCUUUACAAUCCUCCGCCACCCGGGGAAACCCAAGACCGUAUGCCUCUUGCUCCCCUCCGCAUCUCUCGAUCAUAGAUACACUUUCUUUAGUUUUGAACCCUGUUAGAUCUGUUGGAGGGGGGUAAUUGAUGUUAGCAUCAAUUUAGGAGCGAUCUGAUUCACUUAUUUUCCAGGAAUUGGAAUGCAUCCCCCUGUUUUCUGUAGCUGAUUCUCAUCUCAGGGAAUCUUUAUCGAAAAAAAAAAUCUCAGGGGAUGCGUUGUGUGCGCUCGAAAAAAAUAUCUCAGGGUACGCGUUGUGUGCGCUUGAAAAAAAAGGGCAAUGGUUGUCGCACACCAAAUGUUUGGUGUCAUGCCUAUGCGGGGCUUUGGCAGGAACCUGCGGGCUUUGUAUUUGCUCCAAGAGUGAUCAAUUGAUCCGAGAUGGGCAUAAGUUUAGCAGGUAUUUUUAGUUUGGGGAGGUGAUGUGUGAGUCAUGGCCUGCACUGCUCGCUGGUAUUUGGCUACCAGUGACUGAGCUACCAACAAGUUAUAUGACUGCUGAUAUCUGUACUUAUAUUGUCCUACAUGCAUAGAAUGAGUGGUCUCUGCAAUCUAGUAGCUUAUACUCCUACUAUUUAACUCUGAACAGAUGAUCUUACUAGCAACUGAUGGUGUAUGCUUCGGACAAGAAGCAUCCUGUUUAAUACUCCUAGCAUAGUUUACAGUCGCGUUAAGUGUAAGCGUUUUGUGUUAUGCCAAGGUUGAACUUUAUUCAUACCGUGUGAAACUGACGCUCACCAUGCGAACAGUUUCAGGAGAUCAAAAUAGAGCAGAAUGAUGCUUCAAUAACCAAGUUAUUCACAUGCCCUGUUUCCUAUGAACCACUGAUGAGGAAAGGGCAGUCAAAACCACUUUGCCAAAGUCCACUGAACAAUUAUUCAAUCCAUCAAGUUUAAACCACUUUGGGCAUUACAUGAGAAAUGAUGUUAUGUAUUUCUAUUUCUGUGAAUUAUUGACCGCUCAACGCAUUUGUUAAGUCAACCAUGAUAGUGUAGUGCUUAGUUAGUACUCUUUUCGAUGGCUUUGCACAGGAACAAGGCAUCGUGUGAUGACCUGUGUUCCUACCUUUUUGCCAUAUGGACUUAUUCAUCACAAUGACAUCGCCUUCUGAUACUUUUUAAAAUCUGUCUAAUUGUUGCAGGCCCUGACAACAUGGAGCACCUGAAGAGGAUCGCCGAGGAGAUGCAGAAGCAGGUGGCUGUUGCAGGCGCCAUCCAGCCCAAGGAGGAGAACGACUUGGAGUUUGGAUGUAUUAUGUAAACCUGAAAGAUGUAUUAUGUGAACCUGGGAGAUGUAUUAUGUGAACCUGGGAGACGUAUUGUGUUAUGUAAACUUGGGAGAUGUAUUAUGUGAUGUUAUAUGAUGGAUGAUUUUAAUUUGAGUUGGAGUAUUCUUGAUUUGAAUAUGAAAUAGUGUUGGAUUUAAUAUUGGACAAAUAAUUGGGUUGCAAAGGCCCAACAAAUAGAAAUGAAACCAAGUUCAGGAACAAAAAGUUGCUGAAUUCAAAAAUGAAAAAGGCCAAAACUGAAAUUGGACCAAAUGUAUUUGGAACUUAAAGUCCAGGGCCCAAAUUAUAAUGAUAAAAAAAAUUCGAAAAAAACAUACUAAAGUGGCUGUAAAUAGGCAAAGUCCCAAAAGAAGUCCAAUAAGAAAAAGCCCAAAAAAAUAAAAUCAGCCCAUGUGAUCAAUUGAAAUGGGUUGGGCUGAUUUCAACCAUGAUGUUUUGAUUUCGUCGUAAUUUUGCCACGUAGGACUGCCACGUAGGACUGGGUUUGAUUGCCAACGCCGAUUUAGGAUCGUCGUAAAGGUUACGACGAUAGAGGCAUCGUCGUAAAAGUUACGACGAUUUUGAUCAAAACGUCGAUGCUCUUCAUUUCUGACGCUCCGUUUUCGACGCUUGGUUUUUCGUCGUGAGAUCGUCGUAAAUUAAAAACCGUGACGAUGUAGCGACGAAAAAAUAGCGUCGUGUAUUAGCAUAUUCCUUGUAGUGGUGGGCACUGCUUCGGGGGAAACCCUAAGAUCUGACUUUCCAGAUCGGACGAUGGCGGUACUGCGGUGUCGUAUCUCUCUUGGGAGCAUCCUUUGUGGAGCAAGGCUAGAUGACAGAGGCAGGAGAUGGAGCGGCUUCGUCUGGCUCGAAGAUUUGUUGGAACUGUUAAGUCAUGCCUGGCCGACAGGUGCUACGCGGAGUCAUGCCUGGUUGGUAGGUGCUACGCACGACAGUUCUUCCAGAAUCUUCGUGUCUGGACGAAUGAGCCUAGGGCGGUGGCGCUGUUUGGCGCCGUGGUGGCGUCGAUCAUCUUGCACGGAGCUUUCAGUGAAGAUGUCAAGUCUUGCGUGGUCGACAGGUACUACGCUAUGUCAUGCCUGGUCGGCAGGUGCUACGCACGACAGAUCUUCCAGAAUCUUCGCGUCUGGACUGACAAGCCAUGGUGGCGUCGCGGAUGGAUGGACUGUCAAGGAUGAUACUGUUCUCUCUCCUGAAGAUGGGUCAGCGGCCUGAUGAUGAUGGCGGCAUCUAAAACAUGUGCAUGUGGUUUCCGCUUUAUGUCUGUUGCACCGGCUGUGGGUUCCGAUACGAUAUGUGGAUGGAUCAAUGACGGCACCGGUUUUAGAUAUGGGGAAUGAGAGCACUCCACAUUAUCGAGUUUCUUAGGUGUGAGUGGUAGCUUCGGAUGGUUUGAUGUAUGUUCUUGUUAGACCUAUGUUGAAUAAUUAAUAAAAAUGGCCGUAUGCAUCGAUUGAUGCAGAGGCAGGGGGUUUGAACCUGCUUUUCCGAAAAAAAACAUCCACAUGUCUCAUUCUGGCGUCCUAUAUCCAUACUACACAUGCAUGUCGAAAUAAUCUACGUGAUCGGAAAAUAAAAUCGAAAGGAAACGGACACAAGAUUUGCGGCAAACGGACAUCUAUCAAUACUCAAAAGAUCAUCGAGUUCGCAUGACAUAGUUUAUCAUCACCAAAAAACUAUAUUAACAAUGCUGGUCGUUUCCUAGUAAAUGAUAAAGGUGUUGCAUUUUUUGAGAAUCGUUUGGUUGUUCCCAAGAAGCAACAACUGUGAGAAUUGAUCCUUAAGGAAGCUCAUGAAUAUCCUCUCACGAUUCAUCCCGGUAGUACUAAGAUGUAUCAGGACCUACGCCAGAGGUUCUGGUGGACCCGAAUGAAGAGAGAAAUCGCUCAAUUUAUUGCUAACUGUGACGUUUGUCGUCGCGUUAAGGCAGAACAUCAAAGGCCUGCUGGCACUCUUCAGCCCUUGGCUAUUCCUAAGUGGAAAUGGGACAAGGUCGGUGUGGAUUUCAUCACCGGCUUUCCAAAGACUAAGAAAGGGAUUGAUGCCAUCUUCGUGGUCAUCGAUCGUCUUUCAAAAUUUGCUCAUUUCCUUCCAGUUCGAGAGAGUAUAACUGCUAGUCAGUUAGCAGACCUAUGUAUUUAUCGAAUAGUUUCUCUUCAUGGUGUUCCUCUGGAAAUCAAUUCAGACCAUGGAAGUCUUUUCACCUCUCUAUUUUAGGAAAGUUUCCAAAAUGCUAUGGGAACUCUUCUCUCCUUUAGCACUUCUUAUCACCCUCAGUCAAGUGGUCAAGUAGAAAGAGUCAAUCAAAUUCUCGAGGAUAUGCUCAGAGCGUGUGUUAUCUCAUUCGGAAUGAACUCGGAGAAAUGUAUUCCAUUCGCCGAGUUUGCUUAUAACAUCAUUUUCCAGUCUAGUCUGGGCAAAACUCCUUUCGAAGUUCUGUAUGGAAGAGGAUGUCGAAUGCCAUUAAACUAGUCAGAAACCGGUGAAAGACAAUACUUUGGACCGGAUAUGAUCCAGGAGGCAGAAGAGCAAGUUCGCAUCAUUCCUGAGAAUUUAAAAACCGCCUAAUCUCGUCAAAAGAGUCAAUAUGACCGUCGUCAUUACGAAGUAAGUUAUGAAGUUGACGAGAAGGCUUAACUUCGGGUUUCACCUCUCAAGGUUACCCAUCGUUUCGGUAUCAAAGGCAAAUUGGCUCCUCGUUACAUUGGUCCUUUUCGCAUUCUCGCUAAACGAGGAGAGGUUGCCUACCAAUUGGAACUACCUCCGCAACUUUCCAAAGUUCAUGAUGUGUUCCACUUUUCUCAACUCAGGUGUUACUUCAAGGAUCCUAUCCGCGAAGUGGACCACGAAACGCUUGAUCUCAAAGAUGACAUUUCAUAUCGAGAAUAUCCCGUUCGUAUUCUUGAUGAAAGCGAGCGAAGCACUCGACAUCGCAACAUCAAGUUUCUCAAGGUUCAGUGGUCUCAUCAUUCCGAGGAUGAAGCAACGUGGGAGCGCGAAGAUCGUCUUCGGCUUGAGUACCCCGAUCUCUUCCCGACUACGCCUGAAUCUCAGGACGAGAUUCUUGUUUAGUGGGGGUGAGUUGUCACAGUCCUAGUUUUACUUUACUUGCCAAGCUGAAUUCAAAUUGCAUUGAAUUUGAAAUGGGGAAGUGAUCAAGCCUCAGGAACCAAAUUUUGGGAAAUAAGCAAUAUAAAAAUUGCUAUAAAAUGAUCCAAGAAAAUGUUCCGAAUAUUUUAUUAAAAUAUUGGCAUGAUAUAAAAAUGUCAACUAAUAUUUUAGGUCACAGAAACAUUUUGUGUUGGACUUUUGAUUUAAUCAAGCAAAUAUUUGGAGUGGAAUUAUAUUAUCUCUAUAUAAAAUAUAGUUCCAUAAUUCCUGAAAAUAAAUGUGUGGCAUUAGAUAUUUAUAUUAUGCCACCUAAUAUAUUUUUCAGGGUUUUAUAAAAUGGCUAAAUAAUUUAUUUAAAGCCUAAACACAAACGGCAGAAACAGAAAAGAUACAAAAACUGAAAAGGGAGCAGAAGCUUACCUCGCGCCUAAGUGGCACGCCCAGCCCACUCCAGCCACCCCUGUCGUAUUCCUCCUCCUGCCAAUAGGCAAAGGAGAAGGCGAGCACGGCAGCCACCUCCUGCUUCGCCGUGGAGCUCCUCCUCGCCUCCACGACACCAGCACGACCCCCUCUCUCUUAUCUCCUCCCCCUCUCUUCAUUUUCCCCUUUCUCCCCUGCUCAUCCCUCUUUCUCUCCUCCGCCAUUGACGAGCUCGGGCUUGAGGUCACCGGCGCCCCUCCGGACACAGCAACACCACCCUGACCUGCUCCCUUCCCCGCAUCGACGAGCUGCUCCUCCCCGCCGAAGGAAUUGAGCCGAAGCCCGCUGUAUCGCCCUCGCCGCCGCCGUUCCCAACUCCGACCACCGGACCCCGCCGCCGUCGAUUCGGCCUGCCCCGAGCUCCCCUUCCGUCGGCGUUUCUCCCAUCAGUUCCGUGGUGAGCUGCGGAGCAUUUCGCCUCUAUUUCCCUCUUUUUCCCGCGCCCUGGCACCGCUCCCCAUCGAUGCCAAACUCGGGCCGCCGCGUGCCUCCACCGGCGCCCCCAUGACCAGCCGUUGCCCCUGCUAGAUCGGUCGCUUCGCCAGCUUCGCGUAGCCGCAAACCGCGCGGACAAUGGCCCCUUGGAGCGUGAUUGUAGCCAACUCCGUCGAGUCCUCCGCCGCGGUUUGGUCGCCGCCGGCCAGUUUCCGGCGAGCGCCGACGUGGCACGGCCAUUAGUGCCUAACUAGCACCCCACAGCCACUGACACAGGGCCCCACGCGUGGGUCACACCCCAAUUAGGGGCAGGUCAACUCGGGUUUAGCCCAGGGUCACUGACCAGUGGCCCCCACUGGUCAGGUUUGACCUGGCCCGGCUGGUUUGACCUGAUGACGUCAGUGCUGAUGCAGUAAUUCAUUUCAGAGUUUAAAAUAAAUCCAGAAAUUAGUAGAAACUUCAAAAAUUCAUAGAAAUUAAAUUAUAACUCGGAUGAAAAUAAUUUAUAUAUGAAAAAUUAUUAGAAAAAUGUAAGGAAUCCAAUGGUACCAUAUUCAUGCAUGUUUGAACAAUUUGAACUAGCUGAAUAGGACAAUUACAAAAUAGGCAUAUAAAUGCUUAUAUUUGGAGUUUAGAAUUGAUCUAUAUUGAUCAAACAAACCCCAAUUAACUUGUGAUCACUUGCAUUAGAUAAAACCAGCAUCAUUUUAACAUGCCAUGCUCAUGCAUCAUUGUGAAGCAUUUGUCGUGCUUAAUUUGUUCUUUGUUGAUCUUGUUGAUAGACCUUGCGAGAUGUAGUUAUCACCGACAUCGAAGAACAGCUGAGUUCUUCUGAUCAACAGGAAAGCAAACCCCUUAUGUAUUAGGACAUAAAGAUUCAACUACUACUUAUGUUAUGAUAGAUAACACAUUCCUUUGCAUGACAUGUCUUUGUCAAAGUAAAUAGCUAAACCAAGAAACCUAGCAUACCUGGUAGAUGCUUGAGCCAUGUUGUGCCAUUACCCUGAUAUGCUUGCUAUGCUUAGAGUUGAGUUGGUCUCAUCAUCUGGAUGAUGAAUUGGAAUGACCAUAUCCUACUGAUGAGAGUUAAGUAUGUGAAACCGUUUUGGUAAAGGUAGUGAUGAGAGUCCAUGUAGGAGUACAUGGCGGGUUGUCACAUUGAUACCGCACUUAGGACCUGAGAUCUUGUGUUGGUGUUCCAAGACUAGAUACUACCGCACAUUGGGUUCCGGUAACUCGACCCCUCUCGGCCUAUUAACUACUCUAUUCUCAGUCCAGGAGUCGCAGUAGUUCGAAACAUUCAUAGAUUAUGGCACGACCUGCUAAGUGGAUGAACGGCCCAAUCAUUACCGGCUUGGGGCCCUGCUCACAUCGUUUGAGGACAUGUUGGAAACCCCGGCCGGACUUCCAUCAUGGGUUCCAACUCAGAUAGGCGACUGCCUUGUGCGUGAGUCAUUGUGGGUUAACGUCCGUGGCUGACUCCCUCGCUGGACUUCCGCUUGAAGGUUGCUGAGGUGCUUGUUUUAUGUGCACAUGGCGAUAAUUGGCGGGAGCAUGUGUGACGAAGUACACCCCAGCAGGGUAAUUAUCCUUGGAUAUGGACUACUUGGAUACUUACAUGGUUCAUAGAUAACUUUAACGGGUACUUUAAAAUGGUCCAGAUAAGAGUGAGUGCUAUGGAUGGCCUUCUCAUAGGAUGACGAGAGAGGAUCCAUGGUGGUGUAUUGAUGUGGUGGAUAUGUGGACUCGUGUGCGCCCUCUCGUAGGGAGACAAGAGAGGUAUAAAACAUUGUUGUAGUUUAGGUUAGCCAAAGGUCAAAGCUGGCUUUUCUGCAGUAAACCCCACAACCCCGUUCAUUGAUGCAUGAUGCAUAUGUAGUUAACUCUGAUGUAAGUCUUGUUGAGUACCUUCAUACUCACUGUUCCUUAUUUUCAUUUUUGCACAGAUAGACGUUGUUCUCUCUACGUUUUCCUGUUGACGUUAACAUCGAUGGAUUAGCUUGGGAACCCAGAUAGUGGUCUGGCUCCUAUGGUAGGGUUGUUGUAGCUUUUCAGGCUCUUCCAGCCGCUUUUAAUAGAUGUCUAUACCCAGACAUGUAACUUCCGCUUGAUGCUUGUAUGCUCUGAAUGUUGGGUCAUGUGACCCCUCUGUUUGUAACAUUAUACUAUGUUGGCUCUUCGGAGCCUAUUAAAUAAUUGAUGAGUCGUAGAGUUAUGAUGUGAUGCUAUUGUUGUAUCUACACAUAUCAUGCAUAUUGUGUGUAUGUUUGAAAUGCAUUGGUAUGUGUGGGAUUCGACACCUAGUUGUGUGCCUUUAGUAGUAAUCUUUACAGCGAAAUGCCUCUUUGUGCUUCCACCGAGCCUUGGUAGCUUGCUACUUCUUCGGACACAUUGAUUGACCGGCGUGUAUCCUUCUUUGCUGUUGUAUCUGUCCCCUCGGGGAAAUGUCACGCGGUGUAAUGGAGUCCUUGUAGCUUGCUACGACUCGUCUACACACGCUGUUGACCGACACCUGCUUAGUUGGGUCAAGGUGAGCGGCCCCGACACCACCAUCGCCGUUCGGCGCCCCCGCCCCAGGCGGUUGCUUCCGCUGCUGGCCCCCGCCCUCACCCCCUCCAGCGCUAGUUGCCCCCGUCAUCGCCUCCGCCGUCUCACUUGUCGUGGAAGACCUAGAAAUUUUGGCUAAGUGUUGGCUCUGUCCUAUCCUCGGAAUAGGUCCCACUUGUCAAUGACUUAGAUUUGGCAAGAGACAACCGCAGUUUUAUAUAAUAUACAGUCAUUUCGGUAGAUGGGCAGCAAUCCCUCUCUAGCCCAGUGGUAGUCAACAAGCAGCCACAACCCAGUGGUCGUGGGUUCGAGUCCACGCUCGGGUAAAAAAAAUUACCCAACGAAUUUUGCGCUCGCGUGUGCUUCUGCUGUCAAAUGGGUCCCACCUGUCAGUGUGUGAUCUUUGUUUAACAAGAAGUAAGCAAAAAUGACAGGUAAACUGAGGUUGUUGCCUAACCAUCCUAAUGCAUUCGAACUAAUUAGUAACAAGAGGUGGCCGGUGCUGUCCGCUUUACGACAAUUUCUAGUAAGGAAGUUAUGACAUUUCUGAUGAAAAUGGUCGUUAGUUUUUAGGGUUAGGACCCCUCCGGACAUCUUACAACCAAUUGGUCUCAAAUGGUCGUAGAUUUACGACCAUUUCUACUUGCGUCAUUGCUAGAAGGUCGCUAGUUGACAUAUUUCUUCUAGUGGAUUACCAUAAUGCUCGUCAUAUACAAGGAUUAAUCCUGCAAUGACGAAUCAUGUGAUCAUCCAAAUGACGGAAUUUGAGAUGAAGAAUUUGGGUAAAACCUCUCGCACAUUCACUCAUACAUUAUGGUACACAUGUCGUCAUUAUCUAGAUUAUACUAGACAAAAUAGAUUGUGGGGAUGUCUUACCCAUCCAUAAUUUCCAUGGUUAUUCGUUCUCUAGACGUAGAGAAAAUUUCAUUUAGACUGCGAGGAGAUGGAAACAAGAUUUUAGGACCUAAAGUUCCAUAUCCUAGUGCCAUUGGACCCACCAAACAUAAUUGGUUGGGACUCAAGAAUAUAUUUUCAUAUCUCCAAGGCAUCAAACAUCUUGUCCUAAUCUUUCAGUUUUAGAGAAAUCUGGACACCCGAUAUUAUUGGAUACGUUGAUUAGAUCCCUACCAUGUUAGAUCGUAGACAAGCUAUGUGUUCCUACUAGGUGUCGUAGCCAUCCCAUGAAAGUCUUCAAAACAAAUCUUAUUAGCUACAUCCACCAACCAUUAUCUCAAAGAUAAUGUUGCUUGUGUUCCCCGGAUGCAAACAUGUUACAUAAUAAGCAAUAUCUCUAUAUUUCAUAUAUUGCAAUUCAAAUCAUGUGGCUGAUUUGUUCACCAAGUCUCUACCAACUUCUACAUUCUAGAAAUAUGUUCACUGAAUUGGUAUGUGACGGCUUCGGAAUUUGCAAGAAUUAGGGGAGUAUCUUCCUGAAUUUUUCAUGUUCAGAGCAUCAUAUUAUAAUAUUUUUCCCUGCAUGAGUUUACUGUACAUGUUCUCAUAAAGAUUUUUCAUGAGGUAAUAUCAACAUGAAAUCAUAUGUCAUAUUUUUUGUUUUCCCCAACUGGGGUUUUUAGGGAUGUAUACACAACAUAUUUAUUGUCCUCUAAACUGUAUGGAUUUUAUAAUAUUGAGUUAAAGAGACAAUUAUUAUGAUAUGUCAUAUUAUUUUCUCCUUAUAUUUUUCCCACUGCAUUUUAAAGGAGUUUCCAAUGGCAUAUCAGAUCACACUCUUUUCCCUUAUGUGAUUUCUCUUGAAGUUUCUCAUAAAAGGUUUUAACAAGGCAACAUAUGCAAUAAUUUCUAUUUUUCUCACUUGGGUUUUUUUAAACGAAAGUAUACAAUGAACAUUUAUUGGUCUCCAAACUCACAAAUAAGUUUUCUCCUUGUUCAAAGGUUUUCCUCAUAUGUGUUAUCAAGGAGAUACUAAUCAUAAUAUGUUGCAUCAUAUUCUCCUUAUUUUUUACCCAUCAGGUUUAAAGAAAUUUUAGCAACAUAUCAGCACCAUUCUCCUCAUAUUUUUUCCAUAAGGUUUUUGGGAAGACUCAAGAUUGUACAAAGGAUUUAUCAAGAUGGAAGAUGAAUAUACAAGACACCUUCAGUGAUGUUCAAGAAGCCUUUAGUGGUGAUCAGGAAGCGGUGUUGUAUAAGGGGGUGUUAGGAAUAAAUUAUCACAUGUCUAUUUUUAAUUAGCACAUGCUAAUUAAUGGAUCAUCAUUAGCGAAAGGUGUGUCCAACCCCGAAGAGUUAUGUCCCUUCUCUCUCUUUAUUGUCAAUAGGCAUCUGUUUUGGACGGAUGUCUCCGAACAAACACCCUUUAUUUUCAUCUUUUCGAGAUGUAUAUAUACUUGAGUAUCAAUAAAAACAAAGACUUAUCGUUCAUUUACUUUCAAUCAAUCUUGUUCUACUUUAACACAACUCACUAGCAAUUUUGUGUGUCGGGCCACUUCGAUCUUGCGGUAUACCCCAGCUGUCCUGGUAUGUGGGGCAUGCUAUGGUUGUUUAAAAAUAUUAAAAUUAUAAAAUGCUUUCUAGUAUGACUUGGUUUUAUUAAGCACGCAAACAUAAUAAAUUUGAAUCGACGUUCUUGUACCACCGAAAGUUCACACCAAUCAGCGAACUACGCAUUUCCAUUAAAGUUGUAGAGGGUGCUGCAGUAGUAAAUAUGUAGAGGGGAGGAGACGCAUCAAGACAAGAGGGCAGUGUGGUGCACUAAUCCUACUACGUAGUCCCUGUUGGUUGGUAAAUGAGAUGGUCAGGUCUGUUGCAAUUCUUUACGUCGUCUCUGUUGGUUGGUGUAUUCUCCUGUGUGUGGCAUGGUGUUUGUGAUUAGAGAGUUCCCAUGAUUAUCUGUCGCUCUGUUACGACUUGGCAUAAUACUCCUACAUGCACACAAAGACGUGUCGGUUGCAGCUAGCCAUCGGGACUGACAUGCCGUCCUACCGAAUGUUUAAGGAGGUCGACAGUAGUUUGGUGCAGCUAGUCAACGGGACUGACAUGUUAAGCAGCGCGUGUAUGCGUCUCGCUUCGGCCGAAAUCACUGUUUUAACAUUUUUAUUAAUCUUUGUCACAAACUGAACUCAACAUAAAAGUGUUUUAUGAUCUAAUCUUUUUGAUAACAUCAUAGUCAAUCCAACAUAGAAACGCCAAGCUAGAUAGCGUUUCUGCCCUUGUCCACUGUCAGGCCGACCAUGCGUAUGUGACAAGCCAGAAACGUCGAGCUAGACCCCGUUUCUAUAUAGGGCGGCAACGUCAAAGGCCUUGCGUUUCAAAACAACAUAGAAACGUCAAGGCUUUUGGCGUUGCUGCCCUACAUAGAAACGCCAGGGUCAGUGACGUUUCCAGAAACGAGAUCUAGCUCGGCGUUUCUAACCUGUUACCUACGCGUACUCGUCAUGGCAGUGGACCAGAGCAAAAAUGCUAUCUAGCUCGGAUUUCUAUGUCGGGCAGUAACGUCACGGGCUAUGAUGUUGCCAAAAAGAUCAGAACGUGAAAUACUUUUAUAUCAAGUUCAGAUUGUGACAAAAAUCGCUGAGAAGGUUAGAAUAGCGAUUUUGUCUGCCUUUGUGGGCCAUCUCCUAGUGUCGUGGGAAUGACCCUAACAAUAGUACCUAAGGGUAUGAAUGAAGGGGCAAAGUCUAACUAGACGCAGUGGAUGCACUCGGAUGUACGAGUUUAGACCCCACUCGAAAGUGGUAACAGCCAUACGUCUCGAGCCCUGAGGCUGGUAUUUUCUUAUGGGGUGUAAAAGAUUACAAAGUGUUGAACCCUUGAGCUAGAGCCAGAAGUGGCUUAUAUAGUGCAUACCAUGACCGGCCGAGCUUCAUUACAAGGCAAUUAAUGCAAAUAAACGAAAAAGUUACUAGAAACGACAGCUUUAAUUAUCGGCGUUACUAGUAACGUGAGUCUUCACUGCUCUUCAUGCGAUGGGUUAAGUCCUUAGCCGUUUGCAGCCUCUUCGGUGCCUUUUCCUCGCUGAGGUCCGAGUGUCAAGAUGUAUCCGACUCGCACGAGAGGAUCCGAGUGACUCCAGGCAGACCGAGUGACGGUUGCUGAACCGAGUGAGGUCGAGGCAGCCUUGGUGACUUUAAGGAUACUAAUGUCCGUAAGGGUCCUAGGUAGGCCCAAAGAGGCAGGUCCGUAGGCCUACCCCUAAUGUACAACACGAGCAGUAGCCCCCGAAUCAAUUGAGGUUUUGCAGAUCGACUGAAUGACUUCCUUCAAUGUCUCCGACGCUUUGAAGAUUCUUGGGAUGUAGCUCGGGGCUGCGUCAUUCGGACCCUCGGCAAACCUCCACGGAUUUAAGAGUGACCAAUUUCGACUGUCCAGCCAUACAGGUACUUCAGCAGUCGGCAGUGACAGAUUAUCUUUUGGAAAGAUAGAUCCCAUGAGUUCGAUGGACGAGAGCUUUGUACUCCGCGUGCUCAAUCGGUGAGUUGGGACAGAUCUUAACUCGUGUCGAGGUAAGGACGAUCAGGUCGUCGUCAUCAAUUUCCGGACUGAUCGGGAUUCCGUAGGGGAUCGUGCGAAAAGAUCAUUCGGCAUGCUUUGUCAUACGACGUGUACACGGGAUCCAUUCGGGAUACAAGGUGGGACAGAUUUUUCGUAACUUUUGAAAUUGAGGGAGCACGCCCGCGGUCGACGGUUACGCGGAGACGCGGGUAGUGGAAAUAGUGAGAGAAAAGAUUAAUCGUAUGAGCUAAUGUAUCAUGAUCGUCAUUACGUGCAUUUCGGAACAGAACAGGGGAGGAGCUGGGGAUCAAAAGAGUGAACUAGUACUACAGUGUUAUCUCGGCAUUUUGCAAUGCUCUGACGCAUGUCAACUAGUAAGCGCCAUAAGGAAAAGACGAGUCAUGGCACAUGAACCAGGGUCGUACAAAAUUAAAAACUAGCUGUUAUUAACUCAAGAUCUCUGGAAAGGUACUAAGAUGGAGAAGUUGGCAACAUUAUUUCAUUUCAUACAUGAUAAGAUAAUUAGUGCUUGCUCGCAGUAAACAUCGCACUGCAAGCAUGGCCUCGCCUGAUCGCCCCAAUUUCAGCAGACAAGUUCGGGGAGGCGUAUAGAACUUGCUGCGCAUUAUUUGAUCUACAGCCUAAUUAGUGGAAGGAGGUGUUCUUGAGGUGUGGCGGGGCGUUGUCAAAGGAGUGCUUCCUGGCCAUGGAGACGAUUGUCUUGUCGGCGACGAUGAAAUAGGCCAUCCCGGCGACGGUGGAGAUGAUGAGCGCCUGCCCGGCCGGGUUCAGGUGCGCCUUUGCCCACGGCAGCAUCCUCACGCUCGCCAGCUGAAAUUACAGGUAAGAGGUAACACAUUCGUGCUCCGCAGGGAUAUCUCGAAGAAGGCAAGAACUAAAUGGCUAGCUACUAACCGUGGGGACUGCGGCUGCGACGGUGGCGACGGCCGCGGCCUUGGCUCCCGCCAUGGCAGCCUCUGCAACACCGACAGGUUAAUGACAAUCAAGUUUCAGUGGACAGAUACAUUACAGAAGCUGCAAUUAAUGCACGACGGAAUGGUAUCUAUACGAGCAUUGCUGGUUACCUCUGGAGCAACGCUUGGCUGCAGCGAGCCUCUGGUCCAGGUAGGCGCGGGUCACCGUAGACAUUUUCGUGGGAGUGGCAGCUUGGUGGCACGAGACCGGAAGGAAGUGAACUAGAAGUAGAGCAGCAGCAGUGUGCUUUUUAUGUGACCGUCUGAGAGUGAGAUGAGAUGGAUAGGAGGUGUGCUCCGAUUCGGCCGAGUUUAUGUAGGCUGCAGGAAACCGGCAACCAGCG
Molecule: long non-coding RNA, 18425 nt
Filed under: Hordeum vulgare
Lineage: Eukaryota; Viridiplantae; Streptophyta; Magnoliopsida; Poales; Poaceae
Description: long non-coding RNA (HVUL_LNC017615)
Source: RNAcentral